GUUGUAUGGUUAAGUGACUAAGCGUACACGGUGGAUGCCUGGGCAGUCAGAGGCGAUGAAGGACGUACUAACUUGCGAUAAGCGCAGAUAAGGCAGUAAGAGCCGUUUGAGUCUGCGAUUUCCGAAUGGGGAAACCCAACUGCAUAAGCAGUUACUGUUAACUGAAUACAUAGGUUAACAGAGCAAACCGGGGGAACUGAAACAUCUAAGUACCCCGAGGAGAAGAAAUCAACCGAGAUUCCGGUAGUAGCGGCGAGCGAACCUGGAUUAGCCCUUAAGCACUCAGUGAAGUAGGUGAACAAGCUGGAAAGCUUGGCGAUACAGGGUGAUAGCCCCGUAACCGACGCUUCAUCGAGCGUGAAAUCGAGUAGGGCGGGACACGUGAUAUCCUGUCUGAAUAUGGGGGGACCAUCCUCCAAGGCUAAAUACUCCUGACUGACCGAUAGUGAACCAGUACCGUGAGGGAAAGGCGAAAAGAACCCCUGUGAGGGGAGUGAAAUAGAACCUGAAACCGUGUACGUACAAGCAGUAGGAGCACCUUCGUGGUGUGACUGCGUACCUUUUGUAUAAUGGGUCAGCGACUUAUAUUCAGUGGCAAGGUUAACCGUAUAGGGGAGCCGUAGCGAAAGCGAGUCUUAACUGGGCGCUCAGUCUCUGGAUAUAGACCCGAAACCGGGUGAUCUAGCCAUGGGCAGGUUGAAGGUUGAGUAACAUCAACUGGAGGACCGAACCGACUAAUGUUGAAAAAUUAGCGGAUGACUUGUGGCUAGGGGUGAAAGGCCAAUCAAACUCGGAGAUAGCUGGUUCUCCCCGAAAGCUAUUUAGGUAGCGCCUCGGACGAAUACUACUGGGGGUAGAGCACUGUUAAGGCUAGGGGGUCAUCCCGACUUACCAACCCUUUGCAAACUCCGAAUACCAGUAAGUACUAUCCGGGAGACACACGGCGGGUGCUAACGUCCGUCGUGGAGAGGGAAACAACCCAGACCGCCAGCUAAGGUCCCAAAGUAUUGCUAAGUGGGAAACGAUGUGGGAAGGCUCAGACAGCUAGGAUGUUGGCUUAGAAGCAGCCAUCAUUUAAAGAAAGCGUAAUAGCUCACUAGUCGAGUCGGCCUGCGCGGAAGAUGUAACGGGGCUAAGCAAUACACCGAAGCUGCGGCAAUAUCUUUUAGAUAUUGGGUAGGGGAGCGUUCUGUAAG
This 1196-nucleotide ribosomal RNA is filed under the name Vibrio cholerae. RNAcentral's name for it is "partial 23S ribosomal RNA". It matches the Rfam family "Bacterial large subunit ribosomal RNA", at positions 1 to 1247 of the family's 2925-position model. The record is from RNAcentral. Lineage: Bacteria; Pseudomonadati; Pseudomonadota; Gammaproteobacteria; Vibrionales; Vibrionaceae.